This 253-nucleotide ribosomal RNA is filed under the name uncultured bacterium. RNAcentral's name for it is "partial 16S ribosomal RNA". It matches the Rfam family "Bacterial small subunit ribosomal RNA", at positions 524 to 776 of the family's 1533-position model. The record is from RNAcentral.
UACAGGGGGGGCAAGCGUUGUUCGGAAUUACUGGGCGUAAAGGGUUCGUAGGUGGCUUACUAAGUCAAACGUGAAAUCCCUCAGCUUAACUGGGGAACUGCGUCUGAUACUGGAAAGCUUGAGUGCAGGAGAGGAACGCGGAAUUCCAGGUGUAGCGGUGAAAUGCGUAGAUAUCUGGAGGAACACCGGUGGCGAAGGCGGCGUUCUGGACUGCAACUGACACUGAUGAACGAAAGCCAGGGGAGCAAACGGG